CCUACGGGAGGCAGCAGUGAGGAAUAUUGGUCAAUGGACGAGAGUCUGAACCAGCCAAGUAGCGUGAAGGAUGACUGCCCUAUGGGUUGUAAACUUCUUUUAUAUGGGAAUAAAAUGUUCCACGUGUGUGAUUUUGUACGUACCAUAUGAAUAAGGAUCGGCUAACUCCGUGCCAGCAGCCGCGGUAAUACGGAGGAUCCGAGCGUUAUCCGGUUUUAUUGGGUUUAAAGGGAGCGUAGGUGGGUUGGUAAGUCAGUUGUGAAAGUUUGCGGCUCAACCGUAAAAUUGCAGUUGAAACUGGCAGUCUUGAGUACAGUAGAGGUGGGCGGAAUUCGUGGUGUAGCGGUGAAAUGCUUAGAUAUCACGAAGAACACCGAGUGCGAAGGCAGCUCACUGGACUGCAACUGACACUGAGGCUCGAAAGUGUGGGUAGCAAACAGGAUUAGAUACCCGAGUAGUC
Molecule: ribosomal RNA, 460 nt
Filed under: uncultured bacterium
Lineage: Bacteria
Description: partial 16S ribosomal RNA
Rfam family: Bacterial small subunit ribosomal RNA
Source: RNAcentral